AAAUGUUUUAUAAAAAAAACACAGCAACAGUGAAAAGAUUACUAGCUUGACGCAUACAUCUUUCGUCCCAUAAAAUACAAUCCUUAAACUCUCCUUGGUUCAUGCCGGCCGGCCGGCCGGCGAGGUUCCCGGUCGUCGCCGUCGGAGCAGAGGCAGGACAAGAGGCCGGCCGGUGGCCAUGGCGAUGUCACGACAGCGACAGUUUGCACAGCUGCGUCGUCGUCGCCAUUGGCGCCAUGUCGAUGUGGACUAUGAUCAUCAAUCAACUCCUCCUCCCCUGACGUAUCACCUGCCGAGUAAUAACAGGUAGUUGAACUAGCUACACUUGGUUGUCGCGUCUCGAUAUUUUCUUCAGAUCAAAUUGGCUGCCCCAUUUCACUAACAAACAUCCACGCCCACAUCAAAACAAGCUUCUGACUGGACCAGCAACCAUCUUUUUCUCUAACAAAAGUGAGGCCCAAAUUCGAUACAGUACCACCAUGUUCUGUACACUCUGCAAUCAGCAAAGCUCCAUCAUUUGCUCUUUAGCUUAUCAGUUACACAUAAUAUUUAUUUUUUCAAAAAACUUGAUUUUAAAGUUGGUUAUGAUAUUUUUUUUAUUGUAGUUUACUUUCUAACAUUGGCUUUUAAAUCUCAUAGCAUAGAUAUAAUAGUUUCACCCAUAAACUAUUUUUUCUUCCUUUGUUCUUUUAUACGGCUUAUGAACUACUUCCUCUAUCCAGAUUCGUUGUACUGGAAUGUGUCAUAUUCAGUUA
Molecule: non-coding RNA, 755 nt
Organism: Oryza sativa Japonica Group (Japanese rice)
Lineage: Eukaryota; Viridiplantae; Streptophyta; Magnoliopsida; Poales; Poaceae
Source: RefSeq, a predicted model, not a curated record